AUUGAACGCUGGCGGCAGGCCUAACACAUGCAAGUCGGACGGUAGCACAGAGAGCUUGCUCUUGGGUGACGAGUGGCGGACGGGUGAGUAAUGUCUGGGGAUCUGCCCGAUAGAGGGGGAUAACCACUGGAAACGGUGGCUAAUACCGCAUAACGUCGCAAGACCAAAGAGGGGGACCUUCGGGCCUCUCACUAUCGGAUGAACCCAGAUGGGAUUAGCUAGUAGGCGGGGUAAUGGCCCACCUAGGCGACGAUCCAUAGCUGGUCUGAGAGGAUGACCGGCCACACUGGAACUGAGACACGGUCCAGACUCCUACGGGAGGCAGCAGUGGGGAAUAUUGCACAAUGGGCGCAAGCCUGAUGCAGCCAUGCCGCGUGUAUGAAGAAGGCCUUCGGGUUGUAAAGUACUUUCAGCGGGGAGGAAGGCGGUGCGGUUAAUAACCGCGCCGAUUGACGUUACCCGCAGAAGAAGCACCGGCUAACUCCGUGCCAGCAGCCGCCGUAA
Molecule: ribosomal RNA, 504 nt
Filed under: uncultured bacterium
Lineage: Bacteria
Description: partial 16S ribosomal RNA
Rfam family: Bacterial small subunit ribosomal RNA
Source: RNAcentral